GGGAGGGAAACAUCAGUGAGGGAGAAGCAUUGAUCAGUUACCUCUCCUGUAUGCCCCAGCUGGGGACUGAACCCGCAACCCAGGCACGGCGGGGGGCGCCGCCUUCAUUCCUGCUGCGUCCGGCUGAUGGGGCUUCCGUGAGCGCGGCGAGCUGCGGGAGCCCUGGUGGCAGCCUCCCAGAGUGGCGACCCCUUCGCCUGCCGCAGCCGCCCCUCUGGCUGCUGGGAAGGAGCGUCCUCUCCCCGGGAGCGGGGGGCCUGGCUCCGGACCUCGCCGGCUGCACAAAUCUUCCUGGAACCACAUAUUUUUAAAGCGAUGGUGCGCUCUGCGCGAGGACCCCCGCGCUCAGACUGGGAAGGUCUGCACUCCUUACUGUUGCUGUUGAGGGGCCCCGGCCGGGGGUCUGACGCGCUCCGGAUGGAAACACCGGCGUCUUCGCGUCUCACCCUGGCGGCAGCCGCAGGUGGCGGAAAGUAGUUCAGGCUCAUCACGACUGGGAGAGCACGCGGUUGGCGCCAUCGCCAGGUCUUGCUGUGGAGUCUUGUUUAAUGCCGCACGAAGAAAGCACGUGAGUGACCAGAUGAGGAAUUUGCUCUUUAACUGGGUUGAUGACUUCCGACGCAAAGACGAGUUCCGAGGCAAUCCUGUGUGUUUGACUUGAUGUCUUGGGCUGGCCCCAGAGUCUGCGUGUUUUUUUUCCUGGAAAAUGAAAGACCCAUUUUUUCAUGUUCACCGAUAAUGUCACUGAUUUCAAGUAUGUCGGCUCUCUCUCCCACGAGGUAUAACGUUGAUUGUUCUCAAUGAAUGUCUCAGUUUGGUCGCUGUCGAGUCCAACUGGUCUACCCGACCGGGGAGCACCGUCCAGCGAGAAAUCUGCAGCGCGGAACCCCGCACCCCACUCCCGACACGUUCGCUCAGCCACAGCAUCUUCUCCAGACGCUGCACAAAACUACUUUUUUUUUGUUUCAAUUAUGUUUUUACCUUUCUUGAAAUAAUAAAGCAUGA
Phyllostomus hastatus (greater spear-nosed bat) is the source of this 1005-nucleotide long non-coding RNA. RefSeq lists it as uncharacterized. Lineage: Eukaryota; Metazoa; Chordata; Mammalia; Chiroptera; Phyllostomidae. The transcript is spliced from 3 exons. The record is from RefSeq and is a predicted model, not a curated record.